Non-coding RNA from Heterocephalus glaber (naked mole-rat), 316 nucleotides. The record is from Rfam. NCBI's taxonomy places the organism in Eukaryota, Metazoa, Chordata, Mammalia, Rodentia, Bathyergidae.
GGAUGUGAGGGUGAUCUGGCUGUGACAUCUGUCACCCCAUUGAUCGCCAGGGUUGAUUCGGCUGAUCUGGCUGGCUAGGCGGAGGGCCCCUUCCUCCCUCACCGCUCCAUGUGCGUCCCUCCCAAAGCUGUGCGCUCGGUUGAAGAGGACGACCACCCCCGAUAGAGGAAGACUGUUUCCUCAGUCAAGGGUAUACAAGUAGCUGUGCUCCCCUGCUAGAACCUCCAAACAAGCUCUUAAGAAUCACCCAACUGAGCCCUGUCCAAAUUCCUGACCCACAAAUCCUAGCUCACAAUCAAAUGGACCCAUGUUUAGG